This is a non-coding RNA of Equus caballus (horse), 586 nucleotides long. The record is from the annotation of a RefSeq genome assembly. NCBI's taxonomy places the organism in Eukaryota, Metazoa, Chordata, Mammalia, Perissodactyla, Equidae.
CCAGCGACACAACAAAAGCCUGUCAGGUAGCAGACAGAAAAGAGCCAUUUCAAAAGGAGGAAGAACCCCAAGGAUGCAGUCUGGACUGCUUGUUCUCUUGUGCACUGUCUUGGCCUUCAUCUGCUUUGGUUCCAGCAAUACCCAGAGCGUCUCUCAACCUGUAAGUGUUAUGUAUACGCAAGAGGGAGAAUCUGUGACCUUGGACUGCAAAAUCACAGUCAGUUAUGCUUACUACAAUAUGUACUGGUAUCGACAACUUCCCAAUGGAGAGAUGACUCACAUCAUUCAAAUAUAUUCUGGAAGCAGGAACUCAAGAGAAGGGCGAUAUUCUGUGGAGUUUCAGAAACCAACCCUAACACUCAGCAUCUCGGCCUUGACACCUAGAGACUCAGCUCUAUAUUUCUGUGCAAUAGUAAAGUUAUCCCACAGUGAGAGAAGUGAUGGAAAGAGCCUUACAAAAACCCCCAGGGCUCAGUGUGAGCCAGCCAGCUGCUCCAAGAGCUUAGAAGAGAACAACCCGCAGGACAGGAAGAGGGUAGACAGAAGGCAUGGCGAGUGGCACUGGUGGGUCUUGAGAGGAAGCUAA